Molecule: long non-coding RNA, 485 nt
Organism: Mesocricetus auratus (golden hamster)
Lineage: Eukaryota; Metazoa; Chordata; Mammalia; Rodentia; Cricetidae
Exons: 3
Source: RefSeq, a predicted model, not a curated record
GACCAAUUAUUAAGCAGGUGAAACCUGCUAUGGUAUGACAUGCAAUAUCAAAAACUUUAAAAUGCUAUCUGAUAUCACUUACUACUGAUGAAGAAUGAGGAAUUGCAGCAUCAGACCACACCAAUUAAAAAGAUGAGAAGUUAAACUUCCCAACCUGACAAUGAGGACAACACUGUCUCCAAGGAGCUCUUUAAGAAAACCUUAUCAUUGAGCUCUAUUCUAGACCAUUGGAAUUGGACACUUACAUGGUGGUGGUUUUUUGUGAUAUAUAAUAUUGGUUGUGAUACACAUCAAAGUUUGACAACUACUGAUAAUGAGGAAAAACUAUUUCAAAGAUAAAAAUGCCCACUCUUGGAUGACAAACCCCAUAUGGUGAUGACAAUGAAAACGGAUCAUCUAAAGAUAUCUCACCACCAUACUGCUUACAACCCUCAGGAAAGACUGAAAAGGCAGAAAAGCUGUAUCCAACAAAUAGGGGAAAGUGG